UAGGUCUUGUAAUUAGCUAUCUCUGAAAACAUUUCCAGCAAAAAAACGAUGGCCUUUCGGAGAAAAUCGCAUUUCAAAUUUUUUUGGAAAACAACUAUGCUUUUUCAAUUUUCAACUUUUUGAAAAAACUCCACGCGCAAAGAAAGAGCAUUAAAACCCACGUGAAAUGAGUGAAACAGAAUAUAUAAUAUUCCAAAAUAUUCCAAAAAUUCAGUCUUAUACAAAAAUGGUUGAGGAAAAAAUUUUAGGUCUUUCAAAAAGCUACAAUUACUCCCUAAAAAUGGCUUGCAUGUCUGUCGUCGUUUGGCUUAAUAUUCGAAUUUUGCAUAGAAUUUUAGAUGGAUAAAUCCGUAACCGUCGGUCAAGAAUGUUGAUUGACGAACUCGCUACUUCUUUUAAAACUUCAAAAUACUGGGCCUAGACACGAUUUGAUACGUUCAUCUUUUCAAAGGUUAUCGUGUUUACGGACAUACAGACUGGCAGACAGACCGUCAUCGCCAAAACAUGUUUUUUGGCUUUAGGGGGUCUCAAAACGUGGAGAUUCAUUGAAAAACUAAGGUGUGAAAUUUCGGAAGAUUCUAUAACACUUUUUCAACCAUGAAUGAUGAAAAUGUAAAGAGAAAUAAGGGAAUAAAUUCAUUUAAGGGUGUUGAUUAAAUCCGACUUUUAAUUUUUUUUAUAAUUGCGGCACUGACUCAAUAUAUAUUUUUCCGAAGGAUUUGAAAACGAAAAUAAGAAAACUUAGUAGGUAGGUAGGUGUAGUUCUGGACCAAUUUAUCCGUACGAUUAGCAAACUUGCGGCUAGAGCGCAGAAGGCUAUGAGAUGGGUUUCGCUCCUUGUGCUGACUUACAAAUCACAGUGUUGUAUCCGAUUCUCACUAUCGAUAUUGAAAAUCAUUACUGAAAUCCGGGAAUGGAAAUUUUUCACUUAAACAUAUGGAACAUGAUAUGAUGUCUGACGUCACAGUAUAAAGUGAGGUUUAGCGUAUUCGAAGCUUCUCGGAAAUACCAUAAAUCAUAUGUCACCUUAUCAUCUUGAAAGACUCAUUUCACACCAUACGUUGAUGAAUUUUAAAAAAACCUCUUGCGCGCUAAAACAAAUAACCCUAAAAUUCCUUCUAGAAGCUUCCUAGGUCAAUCAUCUUAAGAAAUUUGUACGUGUACCCUCAAAAAUAUUUACCCCCACUUAUCGAUUCUGUGAAAUCUCUCUUGUACACUAAAAAUAUGUGUCAUCAUCUAUCCCCGGAUUUGGAGUUUUGUUCGUCUCAAAGUAAUAUAGAAUAUUAUUUUAGAGGUCUAAUACCAGUGGUUAUUUGAUGUUUGUACGACACAGGUCUCUGUAUUGUAAGGUUGAUAAGUAGAAGAACUAUUAUAUCAUGAUCAAUUUUUAUUAUGUUUUAAAAACCAAAGUAAUAUAAUUUAUUUAUUAUAUUAUUAUGAGAGAAGUUGUAGGCUCUAGAAGCUACGAUCAUGAUUCCUUGAAGCAAGUAAUCCCGAAAGAACUGGAACGUGUACGUCAUCCACUGCUGCUCCUUCUAUUCCAGAAGGAUAGAAAACGAAAAAGUGGGGCAAAUUUUACGAACCCAGAGAAGCAGAUGUUUACAGUAAUCGUUCAAAUAUAAAAGAAUAUUAUGGAAAAUAAAAGAAGAGAUGCUGUUACCACCAAAGAAGAAGCUCAAGCCUUGGAGAAAAUUUCCCAAGAUUUCAACGCGAAGGGAAUUUCUCCGGAACAUCGUCUCAAUGACAAAUUGAAAGUUUUGUAGGUUAAUCUCAAACGAAAUGCCUGAAAUCAUUUCAGUAAUUUACGUCAAGAAACUUUUAAACCCGUCACUGAACAUCCUCGAUCAGGAGGUGUAGUACCACUGGAAUCCAGCAAUUCUGAGGACGAAGAAAAGUCCUGCGUUGCAGAUUCGUACUAUUACAAAUAUUCAAGGAGAACUUCUUCAGAUUCCAGCAACAUACAGGGGCAAGCAUUAGCAGAUACUGCUGCACAAAGGGAGCAGGUUCGUUUGGACGAGAAAACGCUCUGAGGAGGGCGAGCCCCUAAUUCAAGCAAAAUUAGAAUACGUCGACGUAAUAAAAAGAGAAGCUGAGGAAAAAGCUAAACUGCAGAAGGAGUUUUUUAUAAAUAAUCUAAUUGAGCAGGACUUAAAAAUUGCAAUUUUGCGUAAACAGGUAGAAAAGAAUUGAUUUAUAGCUGAGUCGGUCGGCUGGCUCUGUACGGCCUCUACGCCAAAAAUGUUGUGAAUACUGUAUUAAAUAAUUAUAUUGAAAUUAAAGAGAUCCUAAAAAUA
Belonocnema kinseyi is the source of this 2294-nucleotide long non-coding RNA. RefSeq lists it as uncharacterized. The record is from RefSeq and is a predicted model, not a curated record. Lineage: Eukaryota; Metazoa; Arthropoda; Insecta; Hymenoptera; Cynipidae. The transcript has 3 exons.